Molecule: ribosomal RNA, 253 nt
Filed under: uncultured bacterium
Lineage: Bacteria
Description: partial 16S ribosomal RNA
Rfam family: Bacterial small subunit ribosomal RNA
Source: RNAcentral
UACAGAGGUCUCAAGCGUUGUUCGGAUUCAUUGGGCGUAAAGGGCGCGUAGGCUGCGGGGCAAGUCGGGUGUGAAAUCUCAGAGCUCAACUCUGAAACUGCACUCGAUACUGCUUUGCUUGAGGACUGGAGAGGAGAUUGGAAUUCACGGUGUAGCAGUGAAAUGCGUAGAUAUCGUGAGGAAGACCAGUGGCGAAGGCGGAUCUCUGGACAGUUCCUGACGCUGAGGCGCGAAGGCCAGGGGAGCAAACCGG